UUGCCCGGGACGAACAGCUGAAUUCAUUCAGCCUGACGGUACCGGGUGAGGAAGCACCGGCUAACUCCGUGCCAGCAGCCGCGGUAAUACGGGGGGUGCGAGCGUUGUCCGGAAUCACUGGGCGUAAAGGGCGCGUAGGUGGCCUGAUAAGGGUGUGGUGAAAGUCCGGGGCUUAACCCCGGAUCUGCCGUGCCGACUGUUAGGCUAGAGUGCUGUAGGGGCAGGCGGAAUUCCGGGUGUAGCGGUGGAAUGCGUAGAGAUCCGGAGGAAGACCGGUGGCGAAGGCGGCCUGCUGGGCAGAUACUGACACUGAGGCGCGACAGCGUGGGGAGCAAACAGGAUUAGAUACCCUGGUAGUCCACGCCGUAAACGAUGGGUACUAGGUGCCUGGGGGAGCGACCCCUUGGGUGCCGGCGCUAACGCAGGAAGUACCCCGCCUGGGGAGUACGACCGCAAGGUUGAAACUCAAA
Molecule: ribosomal RNA, 470 nt
Filed under: uncultured bacterium
Lineage: Bacteria
Description: bacterial SSU rRNA
Rfam family: Bacterial small subunit ribosomal RNA
Source: RNAcentral